RNAcentral lists this ribosomal RNA (313 nucleotides) under Loligo forbesii (northern European squid). Its description in RNAcentral is "partial 28S ribosomal RNA". The record is from RNAcentral. Lineage: Eukaryota; Metazoa; Mollusca; Cephalopoda; Myopsida; Loliginidae.
UCGGGUGGGUUGCCGAUGCACGUCGCUGACCCGAGGUGGCGGACGGCUUUUUUAAAAAGCAGCGCCGAACGACCGCGUCGCAAAACCAGCCCCRACGCACGCCCGCAAAGGCGAGGAGGGGGAAGAGUAGACGUCACGGUGCGCAAUCGGCCGGGCCGCACCGGCUUACCGCAGCCCCCGCGCCCGCCCGAUACGGUGGGGCGGAAAUGUCGAAGCACGCCGGGGUUAAAAGACCCCDCDGCAAGACCGGUUCGCCACGUGUGAACGGAUCGCGUUACGGUUCCUCCGUCCCCGGCAGAAAAGGGCAGUACGG